UCAGGAUGAACGCUAGCGACAGGCUAACACAUGCAAGUCGAGGGGCAGCAUAGAAGUAGCAAUACGUUGGUGGCGACCGGCGCACGGGUGAGUAACGCGUAUGCAACCUACCUAUCAGGAGGGGAAUAACCCGGCGAAAGUCGGACUAAUACCGCAUAAAACAGGGGCACCGCAUGGUGAUAUUUGUUAAAGAAAUUCGCUGAUAGAUGGGCAUGCGUUCCAUUAGGUAGUUGGUGAGGUAACGGCUCACCAAGCCGACGAUGGAUAGGGGAACUGAGAGGUUGGCCCCCCACACUGGUACUGAGACACGGACCAGACUCCUACGGGAGGCAGCAGUGAGGAAUAUUGGUCAAUGGGCGGGAGCCUGAACCAGCCAAGUCCGCGUGAAGGAAGAAGGAUCUAUGGUUCGUAAACUUCUUUUGCAGGGGAAUAAAGUGCAGGACGUGUCCUGUUUUGUAUGUACCCUGAGAAUAAGGCUCGACUAACUCCGUGCCAGCCGCGGC
This 503-nucleotide ribosomal RNA is filed under the name uncultured bacterium. Its description in RNAcentral is "bacterial SSU rRNA". It matches the Rfam family "Bacterial small subunit ribosomal RNA", at positions 24 to 518 of the family's 1533-position model. The record is from RNAcentral.